Molecule: ribosomal RNA, 683 nt
Filed under: uncultured bacterium
Lineage: Bacteria
Description: bacterial SSU rRNA
Rfam family: Bacterial small subunit ribosomal RNA
Source: RNAcentral
GUCGACGGAAGUCGUUAUGAUGAUUUCAACACUGACAGAGAACUUGUUCAAAGAAAGUAGAGAUUGACUUAUAACAAUGGCUUUAGUGGCGGACUGGUGAGUAACACGUGAGCAACCUGCCUAUCAGAGGGGAAUAACAGUGAGAAAUCAUUGCUAAUACCGCAUAUGCCAUAAAUAUCACAUGAUGAAAGUGGGAAAGGAGUAAUCCGCUGAUAGAUGGGCUCGCGUCUGAUUAGAUAGUUGGUGGGGUAACGGCCUACCAAGUCGACGAUCAGUAGCCGGACUGAGAGGUUGAACGGCCACAUUGGGACUGAGAUACGGCCCAGACUCCUACGGGAGGCAGCAGUCGGGAAUAUUGCGCAACGGAGGAAACUCUGACGCAGUGACGCCGCGUAUAGGAAGAAGGUUUUCGGAUUGUAAACUAUUGUCGUUAGGGAAGAUACAAGACAGUACCUAAGGAGGAAGCUCCGGCUAACUACGUGCCAGCAGCCGCGGUAAUACGUAGGGAGCAAGCGUUAUCCGGAUUUAUUGGGUGUAAAGGGUGCGUAGACGGGAAAGCAAGUUAGUUGUGAAAUCCCUCGGCUUAACUGAGGAACUGCAACUAAAACUACUUUUCUUGAGUGUUGGAGAGGAAAGUGGAAUUCCUAGUGUAGCGGUGAAAUGCGUAGAUAUUAGGAGGAACA